Molecule: ribosomal RNA, 455 nt
Filed under: Microbacterium sp. CRIB-41
Lineage: Bacteria; Bacillati; Actinomycetota; Actinomycetes; Micrococcales; Microbacteriaceae
Description: bacterial SSU rRNA
Rfam family: Bacterial small subunit ribosomal RNA
Source: RNAcentral
GAGCUCGUAGGCGGUUUGUCGCGUCUGCUGUGAUAUCCCGAGGCUCAACCUCGGGCCUGCAGUGGGUACGGGCAGACUAGAGUGCGGUAGGGGAGAUUGGAAUUCCUGGUGUAGCGGUGGAAUGCGCAGAUAUCAGGAGGAACACCGAUGGCGAAGGCAGAUCUCUGGGCCGUAACUGACGCUGAGGAGCGAAAGGGUGGGGAGCAAACAGGCUUAGAUACCCUGGUAGUCCACCCCGUAAACGUUGGGAACUAGUUGUGGGGUCCUUUCCACGGAUUCCGUGACGCAGCUAACGCAUUAAGUUCCCCGCCUGGGGAGUACGGCCGCAAGGCUAAAACUCAAAGGAAUUGACGGGGACCCGCACAAGCGGCGGAGCAUGCGGAUUAAUUCGAUGCAACGCGAAGAACCUUACCAAGGCUUGACAUACACGAGAACACCCUAGAAAUAGGGGACUC